RNAcentral lists this ribosomal RNA (671 nucleotides) under uncultured bacterium. RNAcentral's name for it is "bacterial SSU rRNA". It matches the Rfam family "Bacterial small subunit ribosomal RNA", at positions 8 to 680 of the family's 1533-position model. The record is from RNAcentral.
AGAGUUUGAUCCUGGCUCAGGAUGAACGCUGGCGGCGUGCCUAACACAUGCAAGUCGAACGGGUGUACGGGAUGGAAGGCUCCGGCCGGAAGCCCCGUGCAUGAGUGGCGGACGGGUGAGUAACGCGUGGGCAACCUGCCCUGUACAGGGGGACAACACUUAGAAAUAGGUGCUAAUACCGCAUAACGGGGGGAGCCGCAUGGCACCCCCCUGAAAACUCCGGUGGUACAGGAUGGGCCCGCGUCUGAUUAGCUGGUUGGCAGGGUAACGGCCUACCAAGGCGACGAUCAGUAGCCGGCCUGAGAGGGCGGACGGCCACACUGGGACUGAGACACGGCCCAGACUCCUACGGGAGACAGCAGUGGGGGAUAUUGCACAAUGGGGGGAACCCUGAUGCAGCGACGCCGCGUGGGUGAAGGAGCGUUUCGGCGCGUAAAGCCCUAUCGGCAGGGAAGAAGGAGGACGGUACCUGACUAAGAAGCCCCGGCUAACUACGUGCCAGCAGCCGCGGUAAUACGUAGGGGGCAAGCGUUAUCCGGAUUUACUGGGUGUAAAGGGGGCGCAGACGGCAGCGCAAGCCAGGAGUGAAAGCCCGGGGCCCAACCCCGGGACUGCUCUUGGAACUGCGCGGCUGGAGUGCAGGAGGGGCAGGCGGAAUUCCUGGUGUAGCG